RNAcentral lists this ribosomal RNA (429 nucleotides) under uncultured bacterium. RNAcentral describes it as "bacterial SSU rRNA". It matches the Rfam family "Bacterial small subunit ribosomal RNA", at positions 355 to 775 of the family's 1533-position model. The record is from RNAcentral.
UGGGGAAUAUUGGGCAAUGGGCGCAAGCCUGACCCAGCGACGCCGCGUGGGUGAUGAAGGCCUUCGGGUCGUAAAGCCCUGUCGGGUGGAAAGAACGAUGGGGGAGUGAAUAGCUCUUUCAUGUGACGGUACCACCGAAGGAAGCACCGGCCAAUUCCGUGCCAGCAGCCGCGGUAAGACGGAAGGUGCAAGCGUUGCUCGGAAUCACUGGGCGUAAAGGGUGCGUAGGCGGCCGCGCAAGUCUGGCGUGAAAGCCCCGGGCUCAGCCCGGGAAGGGCGCUCGAAACGGCGCGGCUGGAGUGCCGGAGGGGAGAGUGGAAUUCCUGGUGUAGCGGUGAAAUGCGUAGAUAUCAGGAGGAAUACCGGUGGCGAAAGCGACUCUCUGGACGGCAACUGACGCUGAGGCACGAAAGCGUGGGGAGCAAACAG